This is a long non-coding RNA of Aedes aegypti (yellow fever mosquito), 1072 nucleotides long. RefSeq lists it as uncharacterized. The record is from RefSeq and is a predicted model, not a curated record. NCBI's taxonomy places the organism in Eukaryota, Metazoa, Arthropoda, Insecta, Diptera, Culicidae. The transcript is spliced from 2 exons.
AAUUCAUUUUUAAUACUACAUUUACUUUUUCCCUCCCGCAAUCUCGCUUCUCGAUGGUUUCCAUAAAUGUGACUCGACGAGAAAAAACGCCAAGCAAAGACAUAUCCAGAACCAUUGCAAAAGGGGAAAUUUUCCUGCAUUAGCUAUUACUUCCUUCUUCGAGCACAAGCAAGCAAGCCGGAAGGAAACGGGUCUUGACCGAGGUUGGCUUUUUACUCGAACCUCGAGACCGGGUUCACUGGAAUUUGUGCGGCUGCGAAUGUUUGCCGAAGAUAGCACAUUUCCCCCUCCUCGUAGCCACGGUAUGCCACGGUUUCGCCAGCAUUAGAGACGAGACCACACAGUCGUCAGUCCCAUGGAAUCGAACACAUAAAUAUUUAUUUGAUUCACAUUAUGAGGAACGCGAGGACUCACAGCUGUGCAACCCUGACGGGGAAUUAAUGGUAAUGGAAUGGUCCUGAAGUUCUACUACAGUUUCCAUCCUCCGCUCUUCGGGUCGCGGAACGAUGAUGACGUUCGAAAUAACUUUCAAAUGUUUCGUCAGUACCACUUCGCAAACAAAAAACCAACCAACAAAACUGAAAACGUACAUUUAAUUUUAAAUUGAAAGCAGCUGUUAAAAGGUGCAGAGCGUAUAUAAAUACUUGAUGGAAUCUUUCAAGUGGCCAAUCGUAGUGCCCCCAUUCGCGCGUUUCAUUCAAAUUCUCACGGUUCAUUCGCAAAACCCCCCGCGAGGAACGAGAGGAACGGUUGCAUCAAAUGGGAAGAUUCAUUCAACCACGGAUCCGGUGCACAGAACAUGGGAAUUCGCUUCGGGUCGUUGGUCAACCCCCUUCCGUUGUUGAAUUCGGACAAGAGAGGGAGAAUUCUCGGCAAAUCUACUGAGAAAAUGUAUACGCAUUACUGGGUUCCCAUUCAUCAAUAAGUUGAUGGGUCGAGCUGUUUUUCGCCUCAUCAAACAUUUUAUUUGGAUAUUGUUUUCAGGAUGAUAUUGGUAGCUGUUCAAAGGAAUCAUUGGAAUCAUGGAAACGUUUAUUAUUAAUGUUGAAAUGACUAAGCUAUUAAAAUCUAA